Molecule: ribosomal RNA, 253 nt
Filed under: uncultured bacterium
Lineage: Bacteria
Description: partial 16S ribosomal RNA
Rfam family: Bacterial small subunit ribosomal RNA
Source: RNAcentral
UACGGGGGGGGCAAGCGUUGUUCGGAAUUACUGGGCGUAAAGGGCUCGUAGGUGGCCAACUAAGUCAGACGUGAAAUCCCCAGGCUCAACCUGGGAACUGCGUCUGAUACUGGAUGGCUUGAAUUCGGGAGAGGGAUGCAGAAUUCCAGGUGUAGCGGUGAAAUGCGUAGAUAUCUGGAGGAAUACCGGUGGCGAAGGCGGCAUCCUGGACCGAUAUUGACACUGAGGAGCGAAAGCUAGGGGAGCGAACAGG